GGGAAGUAUGCAAUGGAAGUGUCCCAGCCGGUCGUUUCAUGCAUCGCCGAUCUCGCUUUCAAAUUCACAGCACACUGCUAGUUUGCAACUAAUGAAGUGUUAUGAGAGACGACACCCCCUCGAUCUGUUUAACAAGCGGAAAAAACUAACAGGCCUGUCAAUGCUAUGAAUCCAAACAUGAAAUGGAUCCGGAUCUAAAGAGCAUACAUCAAUCGGAUACGAUGCAACCACACGCAAUCAUGGCCUCAUGGGAGAGAGCAAAAAUCAUGGGAUCACACAUCAGCAGGGAGCACAGCAAGAUAGACAAGCCAAGAGCGUAAGAUCUGGGAUUGAAAAAGAUAAAUAUGACAAUCUUGUGAAAAUGGAAAGAGGAGAUAAUGAUAAUUCAAAUGAGACCACUACAAUCAAGGAAAUGAAUACGAGAAUGGAAACCUCCCAAUGAUUGAUUAAGUUGGAGGCAUUGUGGAUGUAGCAGAAUACUCAGUACUACGUUAAAAGACUUUCUUCUUGCUUUUUGAAUUUUCUGUCAUGAUAUCAGAGACAGUGCUCAUGUUUGGUGGAGUAACCAUUCCUUAAGAAGCAAAUGUUGCCCCUUUUGGGUUCUCAUUUGCUCUUUCCAUUCUAAGGACACCAAGAACAGGACAACCUGCUCCUGGUAAGGGUAAUCCUAUCUACAACGUAUUUUAGAAGGGACUUCAUGGUUAGCCCGUCAGCACAUCAAGUAGCCUGAACCUGGCAUACCAAUCCUAGUUUAUAGCCGGGUGCUUGUUGGUCAGGGUGUGAAUUUGCUGCCCAGCACAUAUGAGCUGGGUCUUCAGUCUUGGGCUACCUGUUCAGCCCGUUGUCUAGCUCUAUUGUACAUUUGAUGUUCACGGAAAUAUAAGUACCGGUUCAUUUUUUUA
Long non-coding RNA from Nymphaea colorata (pocket water lily), 902 nucleotides. RefSeq lists it as uncharacterized. NCBI's taxonomy places the organism in Eukaryota, Viridiplantae, Streptophyta, Magnoliopsida, Nymphaeales, Nymphaeaceae. The record is from RefSeq and is a predicted model, not a curated record. The transcript is spliced from 2 exons.